This 76-nucleotide transfer RNA is filed under the name Eubacterium sp. Its description in RNAcentral is "tRNA-Arg". It matches the Rfam family "tRNA". From Rfam's summary of the family: Transfer RNA (tRNA) molecules are approximately 80 nucleotides in length. Their secondary structure includes four short double-helical elements and three loops (D, anti-codon, and T loops). Further hydrogen bonds mediate the characteristic L-shaped molecular structure. tRNAs have two regions of fundamental functional importance: the anti-codon, which is responsible for specific mRNA codon recognition, and the 3' end, to which the tRNAs corresponding amino acid is attached (by aminoacyl-tRNA synthetases). tRNAs cope with the degeneracy of the genetic code in two manners: having more than one tRNA (with a specific anti-codon) for a particular amino acid; and 'wobble' base-pairing, i.e. permitting non-standard base-pairing at the 3rd anti-codon position. RNAcentral also lists the same sequence under 2 other names. Lineage: Bacteria; Bacillati; Bacillota; Clostridia; Eubacteriales; Eubacteriaceae. The record is from RNAcentral.
GCGCCCAUAGCUCAGCGGAUAGAGUGCCCGGCUACGAACCGGUAGGUCGAGGGUUCGAAUCCCCCUGGGCGCGCCA